Capsicum annuum is the source of this 1616-nucleotide long non-coding RNA. RefSeq lists it as uncharacterized. The record is from RefSeq and is a predicted model, not a curated record. Lineage: Eukaryota; Viridiplantae; Streptophyta; Magnoliopsida; Solanales; Solanaceae. The transcript has 2 exons.
UUUCCUUUCUCUACCUAUGAUUCUUAAACAUGUGAGCAAAUCAAAAUGAGUGAAGUCAAGAGAACAAGUGAUGUUUCUUUUUAUUUUGUUUGUUGAUUGUUGUUUAUGAUUUUCUUUUAGUCCAAAUUUAGUAUAUACUGUCCUGGGGGACGUCUGAGAAACCCAUGGAUCAAAAAUGACAACUUAGGGUGUUGAAUUAGCGAUUAAAAUGUCAUGAACAUCUCCCUUAUAUGAUAUGCACAGAAGAUGUUCGAUAAAAUGCCUCAGAGGUUUCAAGUUACCAGAUGCAAGCGACGGUACAUGCGACGGAACUUUGGAGUCCAGAUGGACCGUCGCAUGACACCGUCGCACCUAUGUGAAAAACUGAUGCACUGGAAUCAACCCGGCGGUAGGGAUCGAUGAACCGUCGCAUGCCCGAUGGACCGUCGCUUGCCACCUUCACACAUAUCUCAGAACAUGAGUUACUGGAAUACUCCGACGAUAGAGGUCGACGUACUACGGCUCCUAAAAUACCACCAUCCAUGGGCAGAGGUAGAAGCCAAUGAGCCGGGUAAGCGCAAAGUUCUGAUGCGCCAGCUCGAAACACUAGACGAAAUCAUCAACCAGUUGUUUCUUCAGCCUCCUCAUCUGAUGAGGUGGUUAAAAGCAGCAGCAGUAGUACCUCUAUUUCAGUACCGCCGGAGGUAGCAGUCAAAACUUCUAACCCUGUUCCAGAAGAAGUGUCUCAACAAGAGGAUCCAAAUGUCAUUCAUCGAAAGGAUUAGCAGCUUAGGGAAGCCAUAAGAUAGCAAGUAGCAGGUGCUCGUAAGAUCUUUUACGAAGGACUGGAACCUACUUCAGAUAGGCUAUAUUCGAGGAACACCAGAUUAUCACAACAAACUUGCAUGAAUAUCCAGAGCUUGAGCGCCGUUUCAAUUCAUAUGGGUUGGAUUGGAUGAGUAGGCCACUGGGAUUGUACCAACCUAUCUUGUUGCGGGAAUUCUUCGCUAAAUAUCUAGCACUGCUAGAAAAGGAUUUUCCCAAGGGUGCAACGGCUGCAGAUAGGGAUAAGCUUAAUGUAGUCCCAGUGAGAGGAGUCGACACUGAUUACUCGGAAAGGGCGCUGAACAGGUUUUUAUUUUGCCCGGAAUAUCAAAUACCAGGGGCUAUCCCAGAGUUGGAGCAUUGGUUAUUCACAUAGCUGAAUAAAGGUGAUGUCUAGCCAGGAUUCUGACAGAUGGAGGUAACCUUACAUGGUUACUUGACCCACGUGAGAGAAUCUCGAAGAAAUCACUGAGUUUCAAGGAAAAAUUCUGGUGGGCUAUUGUGCGACUUAGGCUUAUGCCCGCAGGUGGUGAUGAUCUUCUUGAGAACACCCAAGCUGUACGCAUUCUUUACGUGCUACAUUGAUGAGAAUGUUGUUUCGACACGUUCAGUUGCAACAUGUAAAAUUAAAUUUCACUUUAGAAGGAAAUAAAUAAAUGAUAAUCACAGAGUUUAUAAUAAACUCUAUGAUGAUAUUACAAAUGAUAAUACUUAAGUAGUAAAAUUUUUAAAUAAGCCAGAUUGUACAACCAGAUCCAUGUUUCGGUGAAAAUGUGAAAUCUUCAAGAAGAUGUAUUCCGAUAAAAAUCUAA